GAUGAACGCUAGCGGCAGGCCUAACACAUGCAAGUCGAGGGGUAGCAGGAUUAAGCUUGCUUAAUUGCUGACGACCGGCGCACGGGUGCGUAACGCGUAUGCAACCUACCUUAUACUGGGGUAUAGCCCGGAGAAAUUCGGAUUAAUCCCCCAUAGUACUAAUGAAUCGCAUGGUUUAUUAGUUAAAGCAUUGCGGUAUAAGAUAGGCAUGCGUCCUAUUAGCUAGAUGGUGAGGUAACGGCUCACCAUGGCUACGAUAGGUAGGGGGCCUGAGAGGGUGGUCCCCCACACUGGUACUGAGACACGGACCAGACUCCUACGGGAGGCAGCAGUGAGGAAUAUUGGUCAAUGGGCGCAAGCCUGAACCAGCUAUGCCGCGUGCAGGAAGAAUGCCCUAUGGGUUGUAAACUGCUUUUAUUUGGGAAUAAACCUCUUUACGUGUAGAGAGCUGAAGGUACCAAAUGAAUAAGCACCGGCUAACUCCGUGCCAGCAGCCGCCGUAA
Molecule: ribosomal RNA, 503 nt
Filed under: uncultured bacterium
Lineage: Bacteria
Description: partial 16S ribosomal RNA
Rfam family: Bacterial small subunit ribosomal RNA
Source: RNAcentral